CCUACGGGAGGCUGCAGUGAGGGAUAUUGGUCAAUGGACGAGAGUCUGAACCAGCCAAGUAGCGUGAAGGAUGGCUGCCCUCUGGGUUUUAAACUUCUUUUAUAUGGGAGUAAAACAGGGUAUGCAUACCCUCUUGUAUGUACAAUAUGAUUCCGGAUCGGCUAACUCCGUGCCAGCGGCCGCGGUAAUACGGCGGAUCCGAGCGUUAUCCGGAUUUAUUGGGUGUAAAGGGAGCGUAGGUGGAUUGUGAAGUCAGUUGUGAAAGUUUGCGGCUCAACCGUAAGAUUGCAGUUGAAACUGGCAGGCUUGAGUACAGUAGAGGUGGGCGGAAUUCGUGGUGUAGCGAUGAAAUGCGUAGAUAUCACGAAGAACUCCGAUUGCGAAGGCAGCUCACUGGACUGCAACUGACACUGAGGCUCGAAAGUGUGGGGAUCAAACAGGAUUAGAUACCCCUGUAGUC
Molecule: ribosomal RNA, 460 nt
Filed under: uncultured bacterium
Lineage: Bacteria
Description: partial 16S ribosomal RNA
Rfam family: Bacterial small subunit ribosomal RNA
Source: RNAcentral